CGACUAAUCUGAAGAUACGGAUCAACACAACCACCUGUCUUCAAGAUAUCUUAACAAUCAUCAGCUAGGUGCUCUAAUGGUUGCAUCAAGGCAUUACUGAGGUGUGAAAUACAAGCUGAAAGCUCCAAGGGAAUCGCUGCAGCAUCAAGAACAGUCUGCAAAAGAUGACAUGGAAGCAUUGACAUAACUGGCAAAGCUACCAAGAUUCAUGGAAUGAUCAACUCACAGAACAAAACACGACAAUACCAUUACAGUGAGAUAGCGAACCAUGUCACAUCAGAAGGAAUCACAAUGCUGCUGGUUCUAGUGCCCUCACUUCAUUCCAUGUAAGUUACAAGAUUGAAAUCCUUUUCUCUAGAAAAGAAAGCAGGGUCAUAGUUAGGUUACCUUCCACCAUAUAGUAGAAAACCAAGAGCGGCGAACAAAGAAACACCUACACAACGAAGAGUCAAAAGCAUAACUGAUCAAUAUCACUGCGAUAAGAAUAAAAUACUGCGUUGAGUUUUAAGAAGCAGAACAACCUGCAAAAAACAUCUUCGAAAGGAUAACUACAACUGGAAUAGGUUUCCACCACAGGAUCAACCACAUUGCUAUCUGAACAACAAAUUUCAGAUUUAAAAGCAUGAGUGAACAAAAGUGGAAACAUUUUCUAUAGAAUAUCAGUUUUUACAGGUCCAAAAAUCAUUCACACCAAGAGAAGUAGAAUAACAUACAAUAUCUCACUCAGGUAAAAAACUAUAACAUGUGUAACUUGGCAAGCCAAGUUUUUUCAUUACAUCGACUUAUUCUACUAAGCUUAGGUUGACUAUACAAAUCCUUUUACACCAUUGCACUCAAUCUUACGUCAUCUCCACCGGUGUUUCCCAAACCACUUGUCCUAAAACACCUCACACAAGUUUUCCUUAUCUUGUCCUUAAUAAAAUUUGUAACCUCUUUUCCUCAAAUAGAUUAGUUUCUAAAUACCCUUUUUGUUCCAUGUACGUAUUUGUCGAAACAAACAUCCUCAUCUCUGCUACACUCGAUUUUAUGUGCUUGUUGGUAUUUGACAGCGCAAUCUACCGUGUCAUACUAGAGCACUGUCGUUCCUUACUCAAUCUGCCUAUGUGAGAUUUAUCUUCACGUC
Long non-coding RNA from Eucalyptus grandis, 1123 nucleotides. RefSeq lists it as uncharacterized. The transcript has 3 exons. NCBI's taxonomy places the organism in Eukaryota, Viridiplantae, Streptophyta, Magnoliopsida, Myrtales, Myrtaceae. The record is from RefSeq and is a predicted model, not a curated record.